Molecule: long non-coding RNA, 1274 nt
Organism: Helianthus annuus (common sunflower)
Lineage: Eukaryota; Viridiplantae; Streptophyta; Magnoliopsida; Asterales; Asteraceae
Exons: 7
Source: RefSeq, a predicted model, not a curated record
UUAAAAUUUUCACCGCUCUAACUUCCCGCCCCAAGUUCCCUUUCCUCCCUCAAAUUUGAAAUUUUCAACCCUACCCCUACAUUCCUUACUCUGUUGUUUAUCGUUUCUGAUCCUCCUCAAAUGAUAGAUUUAUCAUCCCGCUUUUGUUCUCUACCACAUUUAACGACGGCAUCAUCUCAGCGGCAGUGGCUCAGCGAUGACAUUUUGGGUACUUCAUUUGUGGCCAAGGUUUUCAAGUAUUGAAGCAACUGAAAAUCUAACAUUUGAAACUUCUAAAGUUUAACUAAAAACUUUGAUGUACUAUUUUCAGGUCUUGAGAGGGAUCCACCUGAAGUAGUAGUGGAUAUUAGGUCUGAUGAGAAGUUUGUGAUAGAUUUGAAUUAAAGGGUUAUCAGGGAUGUGGAAUCGGUUAUGAAACCAUGGGGUGGUUCACAGGGAAAAUUAAUUGGUUUAUUGGCUCAUGGUGUAGAAAAAAAACGUCCGAGGCGUCUGUAUUGAGGUGCGUGUCUCGAGGCGAGACGGGAAGAAAUCGUUUUUGAGGCGGCGCAUCGCUGGUUAAUUAUGUUGUAAAUCACAUGAAAACCCCCUGGAUCAUUUUGUCUUUUUAAAUGUUUCUAGUUACAUUGUCCUAAAUAAUCCCAUUUUCUCUGUAGUCGCAUACCCCAAUAGUAUUGACAAAAGAGAUCACUCUUGCAGUGUCAUUCUUGAUUCAUUUGAGCUUUGGUAAUUAGUUUCACUGGUAUAAUCAUUGUUUUUGUUCAUCACCUGUUCAUGAGAUGGAUUCCAAGAUUUUGAAGAACUAGAGGUAUGCAAGGAAGCACAUGAAAUAGAGUGGGAAAAUUUCUAUAGAAAAAUAUAUGUUUUGAGACUUUGACAGCUCUAGCAACUUCCUUUCAUGUGCUACAACCUUUGACAUAUUCUAUAUCUCGCUUUGUAUGGGUUAAGUUACUAAGUGACAUAAAUUUCCCGCCGAAACAAUGAGUAGAAAUGGUCUGAAGAGGUGACCAUAGUUCCAACAUUUGAUGGUAGAAAUGUUUAACGGAGCCUUUCUUGAGGAAUGUUGAACUUGUAUCUUUACCAGAAUUAUACCAUCUGACAGACAUCAACAAAGCUUGGAGGCUCUGAUGUGGGAGCUAUCAAACACCUAUCACUUGAAGAUCAAGACGAGUAGAAUAUUCUCUUUAUUAUUAGGAUGUUAUAUGUUGAUGUUAUACUAUAACUAUUAGGAUGUUAUAUGUUGAUGGUCUAUUUAUAAAAUUGGUUUUAUAAUCUUA